UUUUAGUACUAAUAUACAACAUAGCAAAGUGGAGAUUGACAAUGGUUUUGUGCUCCUCCCCAGAAAUGAUGUCUGCGACAGUGACUCGUAGUCUCAUCCUCAGUCUUUAGAAAUUUGGCCUCACGUUUAGACGAGAUGCAAGCUUCUGACCCAGAGAUCGGUCGCACUGAGACCAGUAUGAGAACCAGAUAGUGCGAAUCUCAUGAGGGAUACGGGGGUCUGAUAAACCGUUAACCA
Molecule: unclassified non-coding RNA, 237 nt
Filed under: Hevea brasiliensis (rubber tree)
Lineage: Eukaryota; Viridiplantae; Streptophyta; Magnoliopsida; Malpighiales; Euphorbiaceae
Source: RNAcentral